RNAcentral lists this long non-coding RNA (4774 nucleotides) under Carica papaya (papaya). RNAcentral's name for it is "long non-coding RNA (CPAP_LNC003068)". Lineage: Eukaryota; Viridiplantae; Streptophyta; Magnoliopsida; Brassicales; Caricaceae. The record is from RNAcentral.
AUUAAGUUAAAUUUUAUUUUUUUAUUUUAUUGUGAUUGUAGAUGAUUUAAAAAUUAAUUUUUUUCAAAUAUAUAUAUAUAUAUAUAUAUAUAAACACUUAUGUUUAUAUUAAUUAAUUACAUCACGUGUAAUUAAUUAAUUCAUAAUUUGACUAUAUCUUUUUAAUAAUUUGAUUACUUUCCACGAAAGUCUUGCAUUAAUUGUUAGCCAACUAACCAAGUUAUUAAAAUUCAACAACAUAUAAUAUUAUACAAUUUUCUCGAUUUGAAAACACAAAUAGUUUGAGAGGAUGCAGCCUACUCCCUCACUUUUCAUGAUAAAGUAUAAAUAUCCAUACAUAUAUGCAUACGUUUUUUAUAUAGUUAAACACAGACACGUAUAUAUACAUGAUAUAAAAAAAAAAAUGUUUAAGAACUGAACAAUUUUUAAGAUUUUAAAUAAAUAUUCUCAUAUAUAUAUAUAUAUACGUAUAUAUAUACACCUGCAUGCGCCACAGAAGAUCAGCACUGGGCUUGCGGUAAAAUCGAUUGUUGUAAAAAUUUUGACGAGCUUGGUCGACCUCUUGUCGCUCUUGAGGCGUGCCAGCGUUAGGAUCGAACUCCCAUGUUUGUCUUCCCACGAAGUUGUUGACGCUAUACAAGUAGGGUUCUUUUUCACCCUUUGCAAUUUUCAACCUCCACAUCACUCUUCACCAAUACUAUAUAUAUAUAUAUAUAUAUAUAUGCAAAUACCAUACAAGGAUAGAUAGAUAUAUAUAUAUAUAUAACGUCAACAAGCAGAAAUUCUUUUAGAACUAUUUAUUUUCUGUACUAACUUGAAGACCAAUAAUUAAUUUGUGAGAUCCAAGAAAAGAUAUGUAGAUAUAUAUACUAUAUAUGUAGCUGGGACUUGGUCAUAAUAAUAUAUAUAUAUAUAUAUAGUAUGAAAAUAUUGAUGAAAGUUUUGGCACUAACAGAGGGAGGUUUGGUUAGAAGAUAAGAAGAGAGGUGAUGGGAAAAAAGAGCUCGUACAAGGCCAUUUAUAUGCCAUACUGCCUUCUAAUUACCUAAUUUUACAUUUUACCUUUAAAUAUAAUAUAUAAUUCAAUUAAUAACUAGUUUCAAAACCGCAUUUAAUAUAUUAAAACUAUUUGGUAUAUUUUAUUAAUGUUUAACACCUAACUUCUGGAUAUAAUUAUAAAGUGAUCUAAUAGAAGGGAAAAUUUUGCAUAUAUUGUGUUAAUAUAAGUUUCUAUAUAUAAAUUGUUAGUAUAUAUUUAAAGUAUGUUUAGAGAGUACACCAACUUAUAUUCUUGGAAUAUCUUAUAAUUAAUCCAAACAUAAUCUUUAACAUCGUGCCUAAUAAACUUUGUAGCAUGCACAACACUUAACCUAUUUGGUUGCUAAUUCCAAUUUUAUUUUGAUUUUAUAAAUUUUUUUAUUUCGUUUGUAACACUUGGGUCCGAAAUUUUGGUCCGGGAUGAUUUUUUUAUUUACAAAAUUUAUAUAUAAAUAGUUAAAAAUUUUAUUGUAGUUUAAAUGUUAUUAAAUUUUUGAGAAAAAAUGAAUUAGAGACGAAAUUAAAAGCAAAUUUAGAGAAAAUGAGUGAAAUUGAGAAUAAGAUGGGUGUUUUUGAAAGAAAAAUUGAAAACAUAUGGUAAAAUCGUAAAAUGAGAUGGUUCAGUCAGCAGUCACGACGAACCAGGACACGUCGUGUGACAAACACGCUGACAUCGGCACCACGCGAGAGGUCACGCAAGUGAUCCACGUGCCUGGUAAUCUGACAGUUCAGAUCACAUCCCCCACUCAUGGACGACCCAUAUGGAUUUUUUUUAGGUGCGAUCAGACUAAUGGGGUUGAUUGCGAUGGACAGUCCAGAUUCGUCCAUGCUAUCAGCAUAAACGAGAAAUCAUCGAAUGACCCUCCUCGCUCCACGUUGACUCAAACAAGUGGCCUGGAUCAAAUGGAGAGGAGUAUUUAAACUCCUUUUUGCAAGAAAUUAAAACUCUAGCCGACAAAGGGGUGACCGGAGAAGAAGAAAAAGGGCGAUCGGGAAAAGAACCAGAUGCUAGAGAAGGAGGUCGACCACCAUCACCGCUACACUAGAGCCACUACCGACUGCUGAAAAAAGUAAACAUUUUUCAUUUCCACUCGAAAUUCGAUCCCGAGUCUCCCUAUACCUAAAUCGGAGCCAAAUGGUAGAUGGGUGAGCCAGAAACUGCGGGAAAAGCUCGACCGAGCCGUAGCGGCCAAAACCAAAAACCUUCUUUGAUGCCCCCUUCCUGUUUCCUAUUUAACGUGAUUUUGUGACCACCAUGUUCACCGUUCUUUUCUGGUACAGGCUAGUAAAAAAAGAACCUCACCCGCGAAGCAGAAUAGACAGAGUCACCGCACUCGAUGACCCUUGUCAAUAAGUUUCAAUUUUUUUUAGCCUUUUUCGGUCAACUGAGACUUCCUAUCACAUUUUUCUGCAGGUUUACGCGUAAAACAUGCCAAAAUCAGUCUAAACUGACUGAAACCGACUAGGCCGAGGUGAACCACCAUCGUGGGCAGUGGCGCUGGCACUAGAGUACGACAGCAGCACUGUGCCAAAACCCUAGAAUUUGCCAAAAAAAAUUUAAAACACCUAUUCUAGCCUUUCGGGGUAUUUUUAAAUACUUGACGGUGUUUUAAUUUUCACAGAAAAAUUUAAAAAUUCAGGAUUACCAGAAGUACAUAACAGUACUGUAUUUCNNNNNNNNNNNNNNNNNNNNNNNNNNNNNNNNNNNNNNNNNNNNNNNNNNNNNNNNNNNNNNNNNNNNNNNNNNNNNNNNNNNNNNNNNNNNNNNNNNNNNNNNNNNNNNNNNNNNNNNNNNNNUGAUAAUAUUGUGUUUUUAUAAAAAUUAAAAAUUUCUAAAAAUAAUUACAAAUCACUAAUGGAGCCAAAAUCGGUCAGUGUAUAGUUUAUCUGUGUUGUACAUUUAUUUAUGUAUUAUCUUGAUUGCUUAAAGUUAUAUCGGAUAUUUUAAUUUAUUGAUUUUAAUUACCUUUUAAUUAUUAGUUCAUAUAACUGUUUUAUCUUUAUCUGUUGAUUGAUCUAAAAUAAAUGUUAUAAUUGUAUUUUCUUAAUUUACAUGUUAUCUAUUUGCAUGAUUUAUGGUCAAUCGGUAAAAAUAAUAUAUGGGUAUGUGAUAUGUGAUUGGUUGAUGAUGUGGAUAUAUCUAUGAAAGGUUUAUUGGUUACCUUGGGGAAGGAUGUACAGAUCCGGUGCAUAGGAAAAAUCCUACUGUAGACAUUAUUUCAGUCUUACGGAGUUAAGAAGUCUCAUACCGGAAGGGAUUGAGAGGUAUAGUUUACCCUCAUACCGGACGAGAUAUUGAGACGGUGGUAUGUUUGGUGCCCAUUACCGGACGGGGUAUGGAAACAACCAGUUAAAUGAUAGAUUGGAUAUUAGGUCCACACAUAGAGGGGAUCCCUAUGGACCCAAGAGGUACCAGUAAGUAGGUAAGAAGGUAUGUUAUUCUUAUUGUUCAUUUAAAUGUGAAAUGAAAUGUUAUCAUGGUUAUUGUCUUUAUAAGUUGACUUUGAAAAACUUGUAACGGUAAGGAUGGAAUAAACAAUUUUAUUUAUGUUAAAUGAAUUUACUUAAAUUAAAGGCUUUAUUAGUUAUUUUAUUUUAUUUUAUUUUUACCAACUUUCUAUUUCCGUAUCAGUUAUUAGUGUUAUAUUCUUAUUGGGGUAGUAUAGCUCACCCUCCUAUUAACCAUUUCAGAUUAAGAAGAUCAAUAUCUAAAUCCUAAUUAGUAAGAGGGUUAUGAGUAGGUUUUCUCCCGAACCCCAUCAAGUACUAGUGGAGGUUAACCCCGUAGGGCCUUUAUUUACUAUUUUUAGUUAUUUAUUUUGUUUCUUUUUACUAACUGAUGAAAAAGGGACAUUCUUGUAUCCAUAUUGGGCAUCCUAAAUUACUGUGUAAGGAAUGUAAAUCCUAACAUUAUUAUUUGUUUUCCCAUUUAAAGUAUGAAUUCAUUUCCUUUAACUUUUGACGUUUACAGUUGGUAUCAGAAUCGCAUUCAUCGAAAUCACUAAUUACACAAAGAUUUAAAAAUACAAAAAUACAACCUGUUGCUCAACCCGUUCUUGUGAAAUGCAGGUACAAGAAUAUGAGUAAAGGAAGACCCCCACUAAACCGAGUAGCCUGGGAUGGGUCACUUCAAAAUGAUGUCGAUCGACUCUUUGAGAUACUGGAGAAACUUAUCUCCUCCCAGCAGGACCAGAAAGAAAGGAGAGAGCUGUCUGACCCUCCACUCCUGCCACAGUUUGAGCCAUCCCUGUAACAAGAAGAUUUAGUGCUACCCCAAUACACCCUGUUUUUCUACCAUAUCAUUCGGUACCACCAGAGUACAAUCAAGUGCCCCUAUCAUACAACUAGGUACCACCAUAGGGUCGUUCAGCUCAUCCCCAACAUAAUCCAGUCCCUCUUCCACGAGAUAUAGUUCUACUCAUGAUGGACCCAAGUUACAUUGGGAGGUAUAAGAGAAUAAAUUCAUCAACCUUUCCAGGGGUGUCUUCCUUCGAGGAGGCUGAGUAUUAGUUAGCAGAGACAGAGAACGUCUUCGCAACUCUUAGAUUGGUUCUCAAAUAGACGGUUGUACUUACCAUCUACAUACGCGUGGGUAAAGCAAGUCACUGGUGGCAGUUGAAGUAUACCACCCUACCCAGUCGAGUCACUUGGGAACAGUUCCUGGUAGCCUUCAAUGCAAAGUAUCUUCCAAAGCAUCUUCGACAUUUGAAGAAAAUAGAGUUUGCACACCUAAUUC